UACAGAGGGGGCAAGCGUUGUUCGGAAUUACUGGGCGUAAAGGGCGCGUAGGCGGCCUGUUAAGUCGAACGUGAAAUCCCCGGGCUCAACCCGGGAACUGCGUCCGAUACUGGCAGGCUUGAAUUCGGGAGAGGGAUGUGGAAUUCCAGGUGUAGCGGUGAAAUGCGUAGAUAUCUGGAGGAACACCGGUGGCGAAGGCGGCAUCCUGGACCAACACUGACGCUGAGUGAGCGAAAGCCAGGGGAGCAAACGGG
Molecule: ribosomal RNA, 254 nt
Filed under: uncultured bacterium
Lineage: Bacteria
Description: partial 16S ribosomal RNA
Rfam family: Bacterial small subunit ribosomal RNA
Source: RNAcentral